GUCUGAACAAGGCCAGCACCCUCUUCCAGCAUGCUAAGGAAGCCAUGGAAGUAACUGGAGAGAUGCCCUGCACCAUGCUGGUACCCACAGGACAUUGAGGUGAAGCACCCAAAGGCACCUGAGAAAAUUCAGAAUCACCAGAGAGGCAAGUGGGAGCUGCAGGUUGCUGAGACCUGCACAUUCCUACACUGAGCUGGUGAGGAAGAGUUAAGUCACUUCUGUCUGAGCUGAGGCUGGAAGGAGAGGUUGAUUGACUGAACAUUGGAAAUCCUCUCUUCAUGCCAGUUUGGUUGCAGUUAGCUGUGCUGUGCCCUGCAUCAGCCUCCAGAGAGCCUGUGUCACAGGACAGGAGACCUUUCAGCUGGAGAAGUCAGCCACUGUUCAAGCUUGACCCAGAUUCUGAGGCUUUCAUCUGGAGAGCUUCCUCACUGAUUUUCAGUCUUGGCUGUGUGAGUUUGUCUCCAGACCAGUCUGGGAAUGUAAGAGCUGGGGAAUCAUCUGACUCUUGCUGGAAGCAAGAGCACCCACUGGGAGCUGUUCUACCAGAUGCUGGUGAGGACAAAGAUGUUGGGAGGAUGUUGAAGAGGAAAAGAAUGAUGACAAUGAAUGAUGACCUGCAGCUGUUGGUUAACCAAUCUCAUUUGGAAAGAAGGCCCAUAGCAAGAGGAUCCUGUUAAUAACUCCAGUGUCUGGAUGCUGGCAGGACUGGGGUUUGCAUGAGUGGUGAAAUGGUGAAAUCAUGCCUAAACUCUGUUCCGAAGCUGGGGAGGCAGAGGUAUUGUGAAGCUUUUGUUCCCCGUGAAGUUUUGGAUAUGUUUGCCAGCAGAAAUCAAAUGUGAGCAUUUCCAAUUGUUGGGUGAAAGGUCCUUAAGUGAAACUAUUGCUCACUAAAGUGAAAAAUUUGCCUGUUCCCUCUAAAAUUGCCAUCUUGUUUCCAGACCUAUAAGGUGCAUGUCCUAGGAAUAGAAUAAAAUGUAAGUUGACCACA
RNAcentral lists this long non-coding RNA (988 nucleotides) under Chloebia gouldiae (Gouldian finch). Its description in RNAcentral is "Erythrura gouldiae (Gouldian finch) lncRNA (ENSEGOG00005006294.1)". Lineage: Eukaryota; Metazoa; Chordata; Aves; Passeriformes; Passeridae. The record is from RNAcentral.